RNAcentral lists this long non-coding RNA (11390 nucleotides) under Daucus carota (carrot). Its description in RNAcentral is "long non-coding RNA (DCAR_LNC003107)". The record is from RNAcentral. Lineage: Eukaryota; Viridiplantae; Streptophyta; Magnoliopsida; Apiales; Apiaceae.
UUGGGUGUCGCGCCUUUUCCCUGCCUUUGCCAAAAACCCAUUUCCGGGCGGUUCCCUUGGAUUGUGCCAUACUCACUAUUUACUGCUCAAAAAGGAAUAAAAUAGAUGCAAAAAUGAGCAAUCAAAUUGCUCAGCAAGUCCACAUAGAACAAAACAACAAUCAACAGAAUAUGCACGUAAGGCAUAGAAAACAAUUCAAGUCAAAGCAACAAAGCAGCUACCGUCAAAUGACAACAUAAGAUUAAGUAAAGAAAACGCUGGUCUUCCACCUUUCGGUAACACUACAUGGCUCGAUCAGCACCAUUUCGUGAAUACCGUUCUCCUGUGUAGUCCUAGUGGUCUGAUCGUAACCACUGAAGACACACCAACACUCUCUUUGCUAGCAUCAGGGUUUAACACUGGAACCCUACUAUCUGCCUUACCAGAUAGUCAAUUUCAACUCUACCACGAAUUUAAUAAAUUCGUGUUGACCAGCUUGAAAAGAUUCCUCCGAAUACAAGAAAAUUCUCCCAAACAAACACUUCUCAAUCAUCAUUACUUAUCUCUGCCAAAGAAGUGCGAACAAUGCACCCUUUCAACAAAGAUUACCCGAAGGUAGAAGUGAAGGAUAAUUAAAAGAAUUAAAUUCCAAAGAAUAAGAUGAUCUCCAAAAAGGAGUAAGUUAAUUGUGGUGAGAUCAUCGCUGCAAUGUGUUCACUUCAAGUUUCGAAGAUUCCAAAUAUUAUCGUUAUUAAGAACAGCUCAUUCCCGUACAAUGGGAGUGCUCGAAUUAGAAGAAGUAAUGUAUGAACAAUAUUUUUAGAGUCUUCAAAUGAAACGUAGAUAUCUUCUCGAUUCACAAUAGUAUGAAAUGUAAUAUCUUCACAAUCAACAUUUUUCACACAAUUAUCAAAUAGGCACGAAAAACUUCACGUCAAGAGAGGGAUAGUGAACUUGCCUGUCGUCCUUAGCUUCAAUCAUUUUUCAAAUUUAAUAUACAAUUGGCUCCGUCUCUUCCAGAGAAUAUAUAUUCUAAGCCAUGUAAAUUAGUACCUUUAGUAUUCUCAUUCACAGAAUAUAAGAAUCUCAAGAUAAUUUUAUUAUUAUUUAUAUCCGAUAAAUAUCAGGAAUUUGAUCGGAUAACUAUAUCCUUUUAAAAAUUCAAUUAAAUAUUAUCAUAUAUAUAAUUGCAUGAUUAAUUAUUUCAUUCUAACCCCAACCUCUUUUACCACCUAAUUCAUUUUAACCACUAACCAGUGAUUUUUGUUAGGCUUUAACAAGAUUCUAGAUUCUUGAUUUUAUCGAUUAGUCCCACCAGCUUUGCUUAACAUUUUUACUCUAUUAAAAGGAUUUUCCUUUUGUUCACUAAACCAAAAUCCCUCUAAUAAGCAAUAAACUUGCUCUUCCGCAGUAUGAUAUCUUUAGCUUAAUAAUUCCAAAAAAAAUCCAUAUUAUCUUAAUAAUUCAAAAUAUAUUAUUCACUUAAAUUAAUUAUUCAUUUACUUGAUACAAAAAUCCUCUACUUGUCAAAUCUGAUUAUUCACUAAAUAAUCGACAAUUUUAUUAAUAAGUUAAACCCAAAUAUUAUCUCGUUAGAUUUUCGAAUUAAUUCCAAUUACCAUAUUUUAAAUCCAACUAGACUCUUCUCCCAAAAUUAUUACUUUAAUAGUGUCCCCCAAAUAUUACCUAAAUCAGAAUCUUACACCAUUCACUUAUUAAAAGUCUUUAUUUCAAAUCCAACUUUUAAAUAAUCUCAGAUUUCUUAUUAUUUUUAUUGAUUAAAUAAUUUCAGUUUGCGAAGUGACCAAUCUACUCUUUUUUUUUUUUUUUUUUUUNGGGAAAAAGUCUACCGGCUUUUCAAAGAAAAGCUUAACUGUAUAUGAAUAAUACUAUGCAAUUUAUGAAGAAGGUACUAAAGUCUGCUAUAAAUUCUACUAUUAAUAAGAUAAUAUUCAUCUUAUUUAAUUAUAGAAAAGAAUUUACCUCAAUAAUUAAAGAUUGAUUGGCACCUUCCCUGAGUUCUCUUUGCAAAUUUUCUCUGCUGCUUAAAAUCUGCUCCCUUUCUAUUUCUCUUGUAAAAGAAAUAAUGUGUACACUCUCUUUAGUAUUUAUACUAGCUUUUAACUAUGAUGAGCUUAACCUAACCCUAGUUAAACCUUACUUGGAGGCUACACAACUGGUUUCUCAAGUACCCAGUUUUCUUGAUUCAAUGUGCAAAUACCACCGGCUUACCUAGUCGGUUAGUUUGUUUAUUUUGUUUUAUUAUUAUCAUUAUUUGCCCGCAAUUAAACGUCUCGCAAUCGCUUAAUUUAUUUCGUUUAUUUAAUGAAUAUUUUAGUCCCGACUCAUUUAACGAUUUUCAUAAAAAUAUUAUUCGGAACUAUAAAAUACUAGAAUAGUUAAUUUAAUGAUUAUUCUAAUUAUUUUCUAAAUAUUCCAAAAUUUAUUAAUUAAAAAUAACGAAAUAUUUAUUAUAGCUAACCUGUAAUAUUUAUAAUAUUUCGGAUCACUAUACUUCUACCAAUUUAUUUACGUAACCAAUAUUUAAAUCCUCGUGAUACGUAAAUAAAUAUAAUUUGCUAGUCAAUAUAAAUUAACCUUAUACCCGUCUUGAAUGUUUUACGUACCAAUACCAUAUAUUUCGAAUUAUUUAAAUAAUAAAUUGUAAUCGCAUAAAAUUAAAUAACUAAUUUAUGUACUUGAAAAUUUGCAGUUGUUACAUUCUUCCCUCCUUUAAAGGAUUCCGACCUCGGAAUCAGAUUUGAUGCUGAAACAAUUCUGGAUACUAUUCUUUCAUUGCCUCUUCCAGUUCCCAUGUGUCUUCUUCUAUAGCUUGAUUUCGCCAAAUCACUUUAACUAAUUUUACUUUCUUGUUUCUCAGCUCUUGAAACUUCGAAUCUACCAUCUCUACUUAUUUUUCUUCGUAUGUAAAGUCCGUUUUAUUUAUUGGCUCAUAACUCAAAACAUGACGGUUAUCAGUCUUGUAAUCUUUUAGCAAGGAUAUAUGAAAAACGUCAUGAAUGUGUUGUAAGCCUGGAGGUAAAGCCAAUUAAUAAGAAAUACUUCCAAUUUCCUUAGAAUCGUUAAUGGUCCUAUAUACCUCGUAUUCAACUUACUUCUCUCCCCACAUCUAACUAUUCCUUUCCAAUAUGACACUUUCAAAAGUACUUUUUCUCCUACGUCAAAGGCUUUCUCUUUUCUUUCUAAAUCUGCAUAUUUCUUUUGUUUACCUUCAGCUGCAACUAUCUUCUUACGUAUCUUUUCAGUUGAUUGCUUAGUGUGUUGAACUAGCUUUGGUCCUAAAAUUUUCUUCUCACCAACUUUAUCCCAACGAAUAGGUGAUCUACACUUUCUACCAUAUAAUGCCUCGUAAGAUGUCAUCCCACUAUUAGAAUGAUAUCUAUUGUUAUAAGCAAACUCUAUUAAACAUCAAUGAUCCUCCCAACCUCCUUUAAAAUUGAAAGAACAAGCUCUUAACAUAUUUUUUUAUAGUCUGAUUCGUCCUUUCACUUUGUCCAUCAGUCUAAGGGUGAUACACAGUACUUAGGUUCAGCUUAGUUCCAAAAUAUUCCUGAAAUGCUUGCCAAAAUCUCGAUGUAAUCCUCGCAUCUCUAUCCGAAACAUUUGAUACAAGCACAACUUUGUUUAUAUACACCUUUACUAAUCUCUCAAGGGUACAUUUCUCACUAAUAGAAAGAAAAUGCGUAGAUAUCGUCCAUCAUUCUAUAAUUACCCAAAUAGCGUCAUGAUUAGCUCGAGUCUUUGGUAAUCCAACUAUAAAAUCCAUGGUGAUGUGUUCCCAUUUUCAUUCUUGGAUCUCUAACGGUUGUAAUAAUCCACUAGGUCUAUGGUUUCCUGCUUUCACCUUCUGACAUGUCAGACAUUUACUUACCCAAUCAGUUAUUUUUAUUUUCAUGUUAGGUCACCAAUAAUUCUUUAAAUCCUGAUACAUCUUGGUGCUUCCCGGGUGAAUAGAAUAUCUUGAUUCGUGUGCUUCACCUAGAAUAUUUCUUUUAAGAUUUGUCAUGUUAGGAAUCCAAACCCUAUUAGCAAAUCUCCACGUUCUUUUUUUUUUCAUCUUUAACACUUAAGCACUCACCACCAGUUAGUUCUUAACGUCUUUCAUCAAUCAUUAACUCUUGUUCUUUUUGAUUCUUUCUAGUAAAUCCGGUUGUGCUAACAUCUCAUAAAUCCUUCCCUCCUAGUGCUCUGAAUUCUUAAUCUCCAAUCCUAGCUUUUCACCUUAAUCAAUUCCUUUGGAAAAGACAUAACAUUAACUCUUUCAGUUCCACUUAAUUCAUCAGCAACUACAUUCGCUUUCCCUGGGUGAUAGUUAAUUGUACAAUCAUAGUCCUUUAUCAACUUUAACCAUCUCCUUUGUCUCAUACUUAACUCUUUCUGAGUAAAUAAGUAAAUAUCCACACACUUUUCACCAUACAAGUAAUGUCGCCAAAUAUUUAAAGCAAAUACCAUCGCAGAUAAUUCUAGGUCAUGUGUAGGAUAUCUCAAUUCGUAGUCCUUAAGUUUCCUAUAAGCAUCUGCUAUCAUUUUUCUAUGUUGCAUAAUAACACAUCCUAGUUCAUUUUGAGAUACAUCACUAUAAAUCACAAACUUUCCUGUCUUAUUUGGUAAAGUUAACACAGGGGAAUAGUAAGUCGUUUCUUUAAUUCCAGAAAACUCUCUUCGCACUUAGGCGUCCAUUCAAAUUUCUCUUCUUUCCUAGUCAACUUGGUCAAAGGAAUUGCAAUCUUAGAGAAAUCUUGUACGAAUCAUCUACAAUAUCCUGCUAAUCCAAGAAUACUUCUCAUUUCUGUUCAGGUUAUCGGUCUAUCAUAAUUUGAUAGGGUCUCAAUCUUUAAGGGGUCUACCGACAUUUCUUCCUUAUAAACAAUAUGCCCUAAAACUGCGCUUGCUCUAUCAAAAUUCUCAUUUCAAAAAUUUUGCAGAUAACUUUUCUUUCCUCAAAAUCUUCCAAGUUAUUCAAAGAUACUUAACAUACUCUUCUUUUGUCUUAGAAUAAAUCAAAAUAUCAUUGAUGUAAUAAUAGUACACUUAUCCAAAUAUUCCUUAAAUACUCAUUUCAUAAGAUACAUAAUGGUUUUAGGUGCAUUAAUCAAUCCGAAAGGCAUCUCUAAGAACUCAUAAUGUUCAUGUCGGGUCCUAAAGACCGUCUUAGGUACAUUCUCAAACCUGAUUCUUUAACUAAUGGUAUCCAGAUCUCAAGUCCAUCUUAAAAAGUAGGAUGCUCUCUUCAACUGAUUAAACAAAUUAUCAAUCUUAGGUAAAGGGUCACCUUAUCCAACUUUCGAUAAUUAAUGCAACAAUCCUCAAAUCUGAGGGUCUAAAUUUGAUGUCUCCAUACAAGAACUUCUUGAAACACCUUUAAAAGAGAACUGUAUUUUUGAAAAGAACAAAAUCAAAGAAUUUGAAUUCUGAGCAUUUUGAAGAGAACUCAAAGGAAAUAAGAAUUUUAAAACUUUCUUGGAUAUAUAUAGAAGUCUUUCACAAUGGAAAUCACCAAUCAAUGAUUUUUCAGAAUAGCUUUCAUUUAAAACAAAAAGGAUGAUUGGGAGACCAAUUUCAUCAAAUGAACUAAGUGUUGCGUGUCCAAAUCAAGACACUACUAAAGGUUGUUAACCUUCUUGUAAUCACAACACACACAAGUGAUGGCGUCCCAUCCAACUCCUAUCACACAGAUAGGUAUACCUUGUGUCCCCUAUAAUUAGGGUUGUUCAUCCCAAUCAGACUGAAGAAAUUUCAAGGAAAUAAGAUUUAUAUCAAAGAUUUGCUUUUGAAUCGUUAUUUCACAGUUUUGACAAACUUGAUCUACCAUACUUGUUUCUUAACACAUUUCUUCCAAGGAAUGCGAGCAAUGCAUCCUUUAAUCACAAAUCAAGGAUUUUCAGUGGAUAGAAUCGAAAAUAGGAUCAAAUAUGGAAUAAUGAUCUCUUAGAUUUAUUAGAUUGAGAUCAUCAUUGUGGUAUAUGUGUAUUCCAUUUCUCGAAUAUUAAAUCAUGAAUCAUAAAAAAAAAAAAUUGUAUCGUCAAAGAAAUAUUGAUUAUUAGGAGUAGUCACUUCUAGACAAAGGAAGGACUCAAAAUACACUAUAAACUUCUCAGUUUUCAAAAUGAGGUUUGAGGUCGACUUGAGCCGAAACAGUGUGAAACGUAAUAUUAUUCAUAAAUGCUGUAUUCCAUAGAUCUUAUACUCAAGCAACAAGGGUCUCCUUUAUAACACGUGCGCAGUCUGCGAAGAUCUAAACCUUUGAUUUUCUUCUAUAUUACCUAUAUUCUCUGCUCUCGACAUCUCUACAAAAGGCUUCUUCACGCUAUGAUUCCAAGGUUUUUUUUUUUUCAAAAUCUUGAUUAUUCUGCGAGAGUUUCCUCUUCCUAUCGACUUUCUCUUUGUUAAACAACUCGCUACUUGACUUAACGAUACAAACUUUAUGCACUAACGUCGCAUAAUUAGUAAUUUCGAGAACAACUCUAUUCUGAAUCAAGGGCUUUAAGCUCGACUGAAAAACGUCUAGCUUUCUUUUCGUCCGUAGUUACUUGAUGUGGAAUAAAUUUCAAAAGUUCGAUAAACUUAGCUUCGUGUUCAGUUACUAACAUAUUUUCUUGCUUAAGCUCUAGAAAUUUGAGCUCCAUUUGACUCUCUAGGUGUUUAAGAACAUACUUCUCUAGGAAUAACUUUGUAAACAUAGUUCAUGAAAUCACACUAGACUCUUCUUGAAAUCUCUUAGCUUCCCACAAUAAUUAGCCUCUACCUUAAGCACAUAAGUAUCAAAGUUAGUUUUCUUAUCCUUUUCUACAUGAACUAUUUCAAAAGUUUUUCUCCACUUCUCUUAGCCAUAUCUUGGCCUCAACGGGAUCUACAGUGCCUUUUAACAAUAGGGGGUGUAAAAAUUUGAAAGAUUUGAAUGAAAGGGUAGGUCUGAUAAAUUGACUCGAAGAACUUCUUUCAGAAUUGUUUUGAAAUUUCUUGGUAUGUUAUUGAAGAAGAUCAACAAGUAAUUGAACAAGAUUGGGACUGGGCUGAAAUCUAGUUGAAGCAUCUGGUAUUGAUUCAUCAAUAGGGUCGUCAUUCAGGUUUAAAUCCAUCUUUAUAUAAAAGAGUAGACGAAACAGUUUAAUAGGUCUCAUCAUUAUACAAAAUACAAGGUUUAUCCAAAGGUACAACAAGGUGCAAUUUUAUAAAAUACACAGUAUAAAACUUUUGAAAACAGGUUCCACACUUUGGUUAAAAAGGCACUUGUACCAAAGUUGCAUAUUUUUGAAAACUUUUGCACCUUUUCUUUUGAAAACUCUAAACUUUAGAAACUGAAACAUUUCUCUUCUUGAAAACCUCUAAAAAGUUUAAAGGUUGAAGACUUCACAUUGGAUCAUUGAUGUAGCAAAUGCAAGAUAGCUGACAGAAAUGAGACAGGUCAAAAGUAGUUGACAAGUGCAAGAAGCAUAGGGAAGGUAGAGACAACGAAAGAGACAAGCAUAUGACAUAAAGAUUGAUCAUCCUUCCCAAGAUGGUAAUAAUAUCCGAAGCUUUAAGGUUACAGGUCAUAAUAUAGAUAGUACAUCUGGUUAUCAUCCUGUUACAUCUGGACAUCACUACACAAAAUAUCAUCUAUACACAUCUCUAUUUUCCGAAUGAUCUAUGGAUCGAAACUAUAGCCUCUGCAUAAAAAAGAUGGGCACGAUCCUCAAGUCCGAUAUUAUAUAAUGUCUAAUAUUCUCAAAAUACAUCAUAUACUAUAACUGAGAUACACACGGACUACGUGUGUAAACUCCCAAAAAUCAAACUAUACAACAAAUUUAUCAACCAAAUAUUUCUGAGACCCUAUGUUGGAACUCAGAAAAGACUAUAUUUAUCAAGUGUAAAAUUUACAUAUUCUAAGAUGAUGGAGGGUAUCAGUAUGGAGUCCCUCAAAUACAGGAACAAAAAUCUGAUACAAUUUUCACACUGAACUCUCGGGCAAGAAAAUCUGAAUCCGCAAAAACAGACAUAGGAUCAUAAGAUCCUGGAAUCCCACAUCUAGAGUCAUAAGUAGACUAUUUCAACAACUGGUACUGAUGGACCAAAGAAAGUGGUACAUAGUCGCCACCUGAUGGUACGGAAACUGGUGCAUAGAAAGAUCCACUAAUCUGACAAAGAGUGCAGAAACUGAAAUAGUGGAUAUGAAAGUAAAGGGUACACAAGUCUCUGUAAUGGUAGUAACAAGGGUGUAACUCGAACUCGAGGUUCAGAUAUGGUGUAAACACGGGUGUGCCUACUCAAAUCAAAGAGAGCAUGAAAGUUCCAAAAUCACAACGAUCAGAAGUAUGUGUGGUAACAUGGUUAUUUGGAAGAGGUGUAAGCUCAAAAUGUCGAAGAAAGUCUAAAAUGGAAGGUCUCCACUCUCGGAUGCAGGUGGACUAGAAGUGGUAACUGAAAAAGAAGUGGUCAAAGUAGGAACAGAAUUCAACUCAGGUAAAGAGGGGAGGAUCUCCAUCUUAUCAUUCUCAGUGAAUUCAGAAGAUGCUCUAUCCUCGGUCUCCUCAGAUAUUUGUUAAUGAUCUCAGGUGUUGGUGGUUCUAAUAUUUAUAUAAAAGAGUUCUCAUACUCACUAUCUCUUAUCUCAAUCUCCAUCAAUGUAUCAGAAUCGUCAUCAUAACCUGACAUCUACAUAAUACAACAAAUACCAUUAUUGAUAUUUACUACUACGAUUGCUCGUAACUAUAAACGUUUAAAUUUGUAGGGUCUACUAACCUUUACCUAAAAAUUUAUUCGGUACAUAUGUUCUCUAACAUAUGGAGAUAGGUUCUUCAAGGAUACCUAUCUUAAUCUUCGUGUCAUUCUCGCUCAUUAUAUUCCUAGGGUUUUUCGAAUCCUAAGGAUAUAACUACAGCUCUGAUACCAAACUUGUGACGCCCCCAGAUCCGCAUCCCGCAGAUCUGGUCCGCCACUGAACAUCUGGCUCAAAACAACACUUGCAUUCAUAUUAAUAUUACACAAUCCAACUCUUGCCCCACAAGUCCAAGGUCGAUCGUCUUACAACAUUACUACCGAGUCUAACUUUAUUACAUAAAGGGAAGUCUGAUUUCAGACCAUUAUAAUAACUAUAGCUCAUACUACCAAGCGGCGUACCAAAAACCAAUUUCCGGGUGGUUCCCUUGAGUUGUGCCAUACUCACUAUUUACUGCUCAAAAAGGAAUAAAAUAGAUGCAAGAAUGAGCAAUCAAAUUGCUCAGCAAGUCCACAUAGAACAAAACAACAAUCAACAGAAUAUGCACAUAAGGCAUAGAAAACAAUUCAAGUCAAAGCAACAAAACAGCUACCGUCAAAUGACAACACAAGUUCAAGUAAAGAAAAUGCUGGUCUUCCACCUUUCGGUAACACUACAUGGCUCGAUCAGCACCAUUUCGUGAAUACCGUUCUCCUGUGUAGUCCUAGUGGUCUGAUCGUAACCACUGAAGACACACCAACACUCUCUUUGCUAGCAUCAGGGUUUAACACUGGAACCCUACUAUCUGCCUUACCAGAUAGUCAAUUUCAACUCUACCACGAAUUUAAUAAAUUCGUGUUGACCAGCUUGAAAAGAUUCCUCCGAAUACAAGAAAAUUCUCCCAAACAAACACUUCUCAAUCAUCAUUACUUAUCUCUGCCAAAGAAGUGCGAACAAUGCACCCUUUCAACAAAGAUUACCCGAAGGUAGAAGUGAAGGAUAAUUAAAAGAAUUAAAUUCCAAAGAAUAAGAUGAUCUCCAAAAAGGAGUAAGUUAAUUGUGGUGAGAUCAUCGCUGCAAUGUGUUCACUUCAAGUUUCGAAGAUUCCAAAUAUUAUCGUUAUUAAGAACAGCUCAUUCCCGUACAAUGGGAGUGCUCGAAUUAGAAGAAGUAAUGUAUGAACAAUAUUUUUAGAGUCUUCAAAUGAAACGUAGAUAUCUUCUCGAUUCACAAUAGUAUGAAAUGUAAUAUCUUCACAAUCAACAUUUUUCACACAAUUAUCAAAUAGGCACGAAAAACUUCACGUCAAGAGAGGGAUAGUGAACUUGCCUGUCGUCCUUAGCUUCAAUCAUUUUUCAAAUUUAAUAUACAAUUGGCUCCGUCUCUUCCAGAGAAUAUAUAUUCUAAGCCAUGUAAAUUAGUACCUUUAGUAUUCUCAUUCACAGAAUAUAAGAAUCUCAAGAUAAUUUUAUUAUUAUUUAUAUCCGAUAAAUAUCAGGAAUUUGAUCGGAUAACUAUAUCCUUUUAAAAAUUCAAUUAAAUAUUAUCAUAUAUAUAAUUGCAUGAUUAAUUAUUUCAUUCUAACCCCAACCUCUUUUACCACCUAAUUCAUUUUAACCACUAACCAGUGAUUUUUGUUAGGCUUUAACAAGAUUCUAGAUUCUUGAUUUUAUCGAUUAGUCCCACCAGCUUUGCUUAACAUUUUUACUCUAUUAAAAGGAUUUUCCUUUUGUUCACUAAACCAAAAUCCCUCUAAUAAGCAAUAAACUUGCUCUUCCGCAGUAUGAUAUCUUUAGCUUAAUAAUUCCAAAAAAAAUCCAUAUUAUCUUAAUAAUUCAAAAUAUAUUAUUCACUUAAAUUAAUUAUUCAUUUACUUGAUACAAAAAUCCUCUACUUGUCAAAUCUGAUUAUUCACUAAAUAAUCGACAAUUUUAUUAAUAAGUUAAACCCAAAUAUUAUCUCGUUAGAUUUUCGAAUUAAUUCCAAUUACCAUAUUUUAAAUCCAACUAGACUCUUCUCCCAAAAUUAUUACUUUAAUAGUGUCCCCCAAAUAUUACCUAAAUCAGAAUCUUACACCAUUCACUUAUUAAAAGUCUUUAUUUCAAAUCCAACUUUUAAAUAAUCUCAGAUUUCUUAUUAUUUUUAUUGAUUAAAUAAUUUCAGUUUGCGAAGUGACCAAUCUAUUUUUUUUUUUUUUUUUUUUACUGUCGAUAGCUCCUCUCCUUUACACGCAAGAUAACCAAAAUCAGUUAGUUUUUCGAUUUAUAAUAAAGACCCAAGAAUAUUCACCCUAACUUAUGUUUGGGAAAAAGUCUACCGGCUUUUCAAAGAAAAGCUUAACUGUAUAUGAAUAAUACUAUGCAAUUUAUGAAGAAGGUACUAAAGUCUGCUAUAAAUUCUACUAUUAAUAAGAUAAUAUUCAUCUUAUUUAAUUAUAGAAAAGAAUUUACCUCAAUAAUUAAAGAUUGAUUGGCACCUUCCCUGAGUUCUCUUUGCAAAUUUUCUCUGCUGCUUAAAAUCUGCUCCCUUUCUAUUUCUCUUGUAAAAGAAAUAAUGUGUACACUCUCUUUAGUAUUUAUACUAGCUUUUAACUAUGAUGAGCUUAACCUAACCCUAGUUAAACCUUACUUGGAGGCUACACAACUGGUUUCUCAAGUACCCAGUUUUCUUGAUUCAAUGUGCAAAUACCACCGGCUUACCUAGUCGGUUAGUU